This 253-nucleotide ribosomal RNA is filed under the name uncultured bacterium. RNAcentral describes it as "partial 16S ribosomal RNA". It matches the Rfam family "Bacterial small subunit ribosomal RNA", at positions 524 to 776 of the family's 1533-position model. The record is from RNAcentral.
UACGAAGGGGGCUAGCGUUGCUCGGAAUCACUGGGCGUAAAGCGCACGUAGGCGGCUUUUUAAGUCAGGGGUGAAAUCCUGGAGCUCAACUCCAGAACUGCCUUUGAUACUGAGAAGCUUGAGUCCGGGAGAGGUGAGUGGAACUGCGAGUGUAGAGGUGAAAUUCGUAGAUAUUCGCAAGAACGCCAGUGGCGAAGGCGGCUCACUGGCCCGGUACUGACGCUGAGGUGCGAAAGCGUGGGGAGCAAACAGG